GUGGUAUACGGAGGAGGGGCUGGAACCAAAGCCCCGGGGAUACCGAGGGACGACUGUACUUAAAAAACCUAGUGACAGAGAUUCUAUAGCGACCCCGACCCAAGACCAUCAUCCUGCAGAUGCCACUGUGCCCAAGGCAGAGCCCCGCGAGGAAUCCAGCCCCGAAUCCCUGCACCCCAAGUCCCAACGCGGCGUUAAGGAUACCAACAGCCAGGAUCUUCCCUUCCAGCGCCUCGGGGCUGACCUGCCGCCCGGAGCACUCCAGCAGCUUCCAGAGCCCCUGGACCCCCAUGAGGCGGCUGCGUCCUAAGAGCAGACCCCGACAACUUCUACUCUAAUUCUUCCACGACGGGCUGCACCGCCGCCUAGGACCCCGGGAGGAAGCCCUCCCUGCUCCUACACAACAAAGAUGGCAAAUAAUACAGAAGCCACGGUUUUCCAGUGGGGGACGGCACUAAUGGGAGCGCAUUAAAGCGGAGAGACUCCGGCUGCAACACGUCUCAGCAGCUGUCACCGCCUCCCGGAAGAAAGACAGGUCCAGAGAAUGGCCGUUGGCGGGGGCAGGGCGUCGCCUCGCCCAGCGCUUAGGCCCAAACGUCUUCGCCGCUAAUGGAAGACCGGGGUGCAAGGGCCACGCAGGCGACGGAAACAGCCAGAAGAUGUCCCUGCGACACCUCUCGCCUUCGCUGGUGGGUCCGCAAACCCACGAAAAAUGGGCCCGCUCGGUUUCCGUCUAAUACGACGCUCAGGGCGGAAGCCCCGCCUCCGCACAUGACGUAUAUUUUCUGCGCUUGCAGCACUCCGGAAGUGAGAAGUUUAGCCCCAGUGUUGAUCCCUUGGUGGUUACUUGCUUCCGCCACGCUGGCAUCCUGAAGGCGUUAAGCAUUAAAACAAUGUGCAAAAGUGCCUUCUUGGAGGGGUAACGGGCUUUUGUUUUUGUUUGAGACAGGGUCUCACGCUGUCGCCCAUACUGGAGUCUAGUGGCGCGUUCGUAGCUCACUGCAGCCUGGAACUCCUGCUGUCCGAGCUCAAGCGACUCUCCCAUCUCAGCCUCUCAAGUAGCUGGGACCGCAGGUGCGCACCACUAUGCUUGGCGAAUUAUUUUUUUAGAAAUGAGGUGUCCCUGUGUUGCCCAGGCUGGGAGCUAUUUUCUGCACGCUUUUUUAGUAUCGGUUUCUACCUUUGCGCCGCCAUGUGUGAAGAUACUUAACACGAAGUGUUGUUUUACACGUGAAGAGACAACCAAAAGGGUCUCAAUCUGUCGCCCAGGCUGGAGUGCAGUAGUGCAGUCUCAGUUUACUGCAACUUCCACCUCUCAGGCUCAAGUGAUGCUCCUGCCUCAGCCUCCCGAGUAGUUGAGAUUACAGGCCCCCAUCACCACGCCCUGAUUUUUUUUUUUUUUUGAGACAGGGUCUUGCUUUGUUGCCCAAACUGGUCUCAAACAAUCCUCCUGCCUCAGUCUCCCAAAGUGCUGGAGUUAGAGACAUGAGCCACCGUGCUCCGUGGAGAAAUCCAUUUUUAGCAAAACCACUUCAAUGCUCAAUAAGAUGGUUCACAGUGGCCAUGUUUGGUUGACCUAGUCACAACUAAUUUGCUACAGGAAUAAUCCUGACAAAGUGUUUUUUGCAUUUCCUCCAUAUGUUAAGUAAUCCCCAGAAACUGUUCCCAGUUGUUAUUUUACUGAUAGUAAUAUAACUGCCUGUUCAGUAUUUGUCUCUUCCCCAUGGUAAACUGGAAACUUACUGAAACGAAGAACGGUUUUGUUGACUGCUAUAUCCCCCGAUCCUGGCACUUAGCAGUUCUGUAAAUAUUGCCUAAAUGACCUCUUAAGCCUCUAGUCUAAAGCUCUCCAGUGCACCUUGCAGUCUGCUGAAAGAAUCUGCUUGGAGGUUAGGCUGAUAAUUCAUUCAGAUCUCAUCUGAGCCAUAUGUUGCCUUGUGUUAUGGUCUGAAUUCUGUCCUCCAAAAUUCAUCUGUGGAAGCCUGAGUACCUCAGAAUGUGACUCUCUGAAGACACAGCAUUUAAAAAUGAUUAAAUUGAAAUGAGGCCAUUAGGAUAGGCCCUAAAUCCAGUUUGACUGGUGUCUUUGUAGAAAGACGAAAUUGGGCCACAGGGAGAGACUCCAGGGAUGAUAGGCACAGAGGAAAGGCCUUGUGAGGACACAGUGAGAAGGCGGCCCUCUGCAGGUGAAGGAGACAGGCCUCAGAAGAAACCAAACCUGCCUGCUCCUGGACUUCUAGUUUCCAGAACCAUGAGAAAAUAAAUAUCUGUUGUUUAUGCCA
Long non-coding RNA from Pan troglodytes (chimpanzee), 2282 nucleotides. RefSeq lists it as uncharacterized. Lineage: Eukaryota; Metazoa; Chordata; Mammalia; Primates; Hominidae. The record is from RefSeq and is a predicted model, not a curated record. The transcript is spliced from 2 exons.